RNAcentral lists this ribosomal RNA (363 nucleotides) under uncultured eukaryote. Its description in RNAcentral is "partial 18S ribosomal RNA". It matches the Rfam family "Eukaryotic small subunit ribosomal RNA", at positions 592 to 976 of the family's 1831-position model. The record is from RNAcentral.
CAAUAGCAUAUAUUAACGUUGUUGCAGUUGAAAAGCUCGUAGUUGAACUUUUGGUAGGAGCGACCUGGCCUUGGGCGCAUGCCCUUGUUUGCCGUGUGUCGUGUCUGGCCAUCCUUUUCUUCGUUUUUCGGCGGGAUCUUUUACUGUGAGUAAACUGGAGUGCUCAAAACAAGACGUUUGUUUGGUACAUUAAAGCAUGGAAUAAUAAGAUAGGACCUGGUUACUAUUUUGUUGGUUUGCAUAGCUAGGUAAUGAUUAACAGGGACAGUUGGGGGUAUUCGUAUUUAAUUGUCAGAGGUGAAAUUCUUGGAUUUAUGAAAGACGAACGACUGCGAAAGCAUUUACCAAGGAUGUUUUCAUUAA